This 446-nucleotide ribosomal RNA is filed under the name uncultured organism. RNAcentral describes it as "partial 16S ribosomal RNA". It matches the Rfam family "Bacterial small subunit ribosomal RNA", at positions 335 to 797 of the family's 1533-position model. The record is from RNAcentral.
ACUCCUACGGGAGGCAGCAGUGGGGAAUAUUGGACAAUGGGCGCAAGCCUGAUCCAGCCAUGCCGCGUGAGUGAUGAAGGCCCUAGGGUUGUAAAGCUCUUUCACCGGUGAAGAUAAUGACGGUAACCGGAGAAGAAGCCCCGGCUAACUUCGUGCCAGCAGCCGCGGUAAUACGAAGGGGGCUAGCGUUGUUCGGAUUUACUGGGCGUAAAGCGCACGUAGGCGGACUAUUAAGUCAGGGGUGAAAUCCCGGGGCUCAACCCCGGAACUGCCUUUGAUACUGGUAGUCUUGAGUUCGAGAGAGGUGAGUGGAAUUCCGAGUGUAGAGGUGAAAUUCGUAGAUAUUCGGAGGAACACCAGUGGCGAAGGCGGCUCACUGGCUCGAUACUGACGCUGAGGUGCGAAAGCGUGGGGAGUAAACAGGAUUAGAAACCCCGGUAGUCCCA